RNAcentral lists this non-coding RNA (320 nucleotides) under Buceros rhinoceros silvestris. RNAcentral describes it as "Eukaryotic large subunit ribosomal RNA". The stretch from base 1 to 269 matches the Rfam family "Eukaryotic large subunit ribosomal RNA", at positions 2621 to 2807 of the family's 3401-position model. Lineage: Eukaryota; Metazoa; Chordata; Aves; Bucerotiformes; Bucerotidae. The record is from Rfam by way of RNAcentral.
UUGGCUGGGGCGGUACACCUGUCAAGUCGUAAGGCAGAUCUCCUAAGGUGAGCUCAGGGAGGAUAGAACCUCCUGUGGAGAAGAAAGGCAAAAGCUCGCUUGAUCACGACUUCCAGUACAAAUGCAGACCAUGAAAGUAGGGCCUCAUGAUCCUUCUGACUUCUUGGGUUUUACCCAAAACCCCAAACAUCCCUAAUUAUGUUUAGGCCUGUAAAUUGUAAUUGUUAUUUUCCAGAAAGAGUUUUACAACCAUUAGAACCGAAAAUGACUAAUGUAAAGUAAAAAUUUUAAAAAGAAUUAACAGUAAUUAAAAGCAGAUG